UACUAAAAGUCCACCUCUUAAUCCACUUUCCUUCACUGUCGGGUGAGGGACGCUCUUGUCCGGAGAGAGUGUGUCGUAUCCUCGUGUCUAAGGAAUGAUAAAGUGCUUAUUGGAAUUAUAUUCAUUGACUCGUCUAUAUUCAGCCACAGCGUGCAAUGAACUAUGCACUAUGCUUCAUCUCCCAAGAUAUAUACAAGAGGCCAGGAUACGAACCCAUGACAAAGCGCUCGCGGAACGCCAGAGCAGACGGCCGCUCGUAUCAAGGGUCUUCCCAUUGAUAACAUAACGGAGCGAACACAACGUUCACUACGGCGGGAAAGUCCUGUUGACUGAAAUAUUUGGAAAUGUGAAGUGCGUGUGUAGACAGCUGGUUGCAAGGCUCCACGACCGCAGAGACCCCGCCCGUCUGUUGAGCGAGCGAUGACCAACCUCCCUCAUCUCCGUUCCAACAGUAACUUGAGUGACUAAUCGUGGGACCCUCGCCCACUGGGACGGUGUCUCAGUGUUGCCAGAUUGGGCUACAAAUAGCGAAUUGGGCUACUUUUGAGAGCCCCGCGCUCCCAAAUUUUUAAUUUCGCUACUUGCUACUUUUUUGGGCUAAUUUAAAAGCAAGAUGUGCUAAU
Long non-coding RNA from Procambarus clarkii (red swamp crayfish), 623 nucleotides. RefSeq lists it as uncharacterized. NCBI's taxonomy places the organism in Eukaryota, Metazoa, Arthropoda, Malacostraca, Decapoda, Cambaridae. The record is from RefSeq and is a predicted model, not a curated record.